GACGAACGCUGGCGGCGUGCUUAACACAUGCAAGUCGAACGGAAAGGCCCUGCUUUUGUGUGGUGCUCGAGUGGCGAACGGGUGAGUAACACGUGAGUAACCUGCCCUUGACUUUGGGAUAACUUCAGGAAACUGGGGCUAAUACCGGAUAGGAGCUCCUGCUGCAUGGUGGGGGUUGGAAAGUUUCGGCGGUUGGGGAUGGACUCGCGGCUUAUCAGCUUGUUGGUGGGGUAGUGGCUUACCAAGGCUUUGACGGGUAGCCGGCCUGAGAGGGUGAACGGCCACAUUGGGACUGAGAUACGGCCCAGACUCCUACGGGAGGCAGCAGUGGGGAAUAUUGCACAAUGGGCGGAAGCCUGAUGCAGCAACGCCGCGUGCGGGAUGACGGCCUUCGGGUUGUAAACCGCUUUCGCCUGUGACGAAGCGUGAGUGACGGUAAUGGGUAAAGAAGCACCGGCUAACUACGUG
RNAcentral lists this ribosomal RNA (468 nucleotides) under uncultured bacterium. RNAcentral's name for it is "partial 16S ribosomal RNA". It matches the Rfam family "Bacterial small subunit ribosomal RNA", at positions 28 to 507 of the family's 1533-position model. The record is from RNAcentral.